This 331-nucleotide long non-coding RNA is filed under the name Gossypium barbadense (sea-island cotton). Its description in RNAcentral is "long non-coding RNA (GBAR_LNC023016)". Lineage: Eukaryota; Viridiplantae; Streptophyta; Magnoliopsida; Malvales; Malvaceae. The record is from RNAcentral.
UUUUCUUCCUCAUUUAUUCUGUUUUCAUAACAAAUCCUCAAAUAUAUCUCUUCAAUCCAAAUCUCCUCCCAUUUCUUUAUCGGUUCUCUCUCUCUGUCACUUUUCAAUUUCUUUCCUCUCAUUAUUUUAGCUUUGGGUAACAAAAGGCCAAAAAAAAAAGCACACACCCUGCACCGUUUUUUGUGGUUUUUGAAAUCCACUGCUUCAUCCGAGACAGAUUUCAGGUAUGAAUCUUUGCUUCAACAUUUGUCUUUUUGCUUUUUGCUUUUUUCAUCUCUAGUUUGGAGUGUUGUGUUUAGCUGUAUGGGUUUGGGGUGUUGUUGGUUCAGGU